GCUGAAGCUGCAGAGAUGAUGCAGAUCACCAGUGGGCACCCUGCAAAAUUCAGAGAUGGCGACAGUGUCAAAACUGCACUCGAUGCUUCCCUUCAGAAAACCAGGACCUUGGAUAGAAAAGGAAACUGGGAAAAGGCGUAAAAGAGGGCCCUAUCCCAUGGGAGGAUGAGGGCAUCUCCCAGUGAAUGUUUCCCCAGGCCAGUUCUGGAGCAGUAACGAGGACAUUUCUUGUUCCGUGUAGAUUCCCAGGGAGCAUAAUGUGGUCUGGGAAUCCUUCAGGAUGUGGAGAGAAGAAUCUGUCUUCUCCACGAAGAGUUUGGGCCAUUCAAACUGGAAGUCUUUUGCAGCUCUUUGGGCAAUCCAGAAAGGUGUAGCCAAGAAGUCCGCCUCAGUACUACUGUCAUGGAGACCGGGUGGGCAGCUGUAUCAGCUACAUCCAGUGCUGCCUCUAGCACCCGUCUGGCUAUUAACUGACCCUCUCUAAGAAUGGUCUGAAACUGUUCCUUUUGUAUCUCCAGUAAAUGUUCCAGAAAUGCAUUGAGUUUCCCAUAAUUAAUGAAAUUGUAUUUGGCCAUGACAAUUUGGUAAUUCGUAACUCUAAACCGUAAUGUUGCCGACAAAUACACCAUCUUGCCAAGCCCGAUCCUAUGGGGUCAGUUUGGCAUUAUGUUGCUUGCUUCAUGCAUUAACUACAUCCCCUAUGAUGGAUUUGU
This is a long non-coding RNA of Trachemys scripta elegans, 713 nucleotides long. RefSeq lists it as uncharacterized. The transcript has 3 exons. The record is from RefSeq and is a predicted model, not a curated record. NCBI's taxonomy places the organism in Eukaryota, Metazoa, Chordata, Testudines, Emydidae.